UACGUAGGGGGCAAGCGUUGUCCGGAAUUAUUGGGCGUAAAGAGCGCGUAGGCGGUCCGGUAAGUCGGUUGUGAAAGUCGGGGGCUCAACCCUCGGAUGCCGGUCGAUACUGUCGGGCUAGAGUCCGGAAGAGGCGAGUGGAAUUCCUGGUGUAGCGGUGAAAUGCGCAGAUAUCAGGAGGAACACCAAUGGCGAAGGCAGCUCGCUGGGACGGUACUGACGCUGAGGCGCGAAAGCGUGGGGAGCAAACAGG
RNAcentral lists this ribosomal RNA (253 nucleotides) under uncultured bacterium. RNAcentral describes it as "partial 16S ribosomal RNA". It matches the Rfam family "Bacterial small subunit ribosomal RNA", at positions 524 to 776 of the family's 1533-position model. The record is from RNAcentral.